UUUCUGGUUGAUCCUGCCGGACCUGACUGCUAUCGGAUUGAUACUAAGCCAUGCGAGUCAUUGUAGUAAUACAAGGCAUACGGCUCAGUAACGCGUAGUCAACCUAACCUAUGGACGGGAAUAACCUCGGGAAACUGAGUAUAAUGCCCGAUAGAACAUUAUGCCUGGAAUGGUUUAUGUUCCAAAUGAUUUAUCGCCGUAGGAUGGGACUGCGGCCUAUCAGUUUGUUGGUGAGGUAAUGGCCCACCAAGACUAUUACAGGUACGGGCUCUGAGAGGAGUAGCCCGGAGAUGGGUACUGAGACACGGACCCAGGCCCUAUGGGGCGCAGCAGGCGAGAAAACUUUGCAAUGUGCGAAAGCACGACAAGGUUAAUCCGAGUGGUUUCUGCUAAAGGAACCUUUUGUUAGUCCUAGAAACACUAACGAAUAAGGGGUGGGCAAGUUCUGGUGUCAGCCGCCGCGGUAAAACCAGCACCUCAAGUGGUCAGGAUGAUUAUUGGGCCUAAAGCAUCCGUAGCCGGAUCUGUAAGUUUUCGGUUAAAUCUGUACGCUCAACGUACAGGCUGCCGGGAAUACUGCAGAUCUAGGGAGUGGGAGAGGUAGACGGUACUCGGGAGGAAGGGGUAAAAUCCUUUGAUCUCUCGAUGACCACCUGUGGCGAAGGCGGUCUACCAGAACACGUCCGACGGUGAGGGAUGAAAGCUGGGGGAGCAAACCGGAUUAGAUACCCGGGUAGUCCCAGCUGUAAACUAUGCAAACUCAGUGAUGCAUUGACUUGUGGUCAAUGCAGUGCUGCAGGGAAGCCGUUAAGUUUGCCGCCUGGGAAGUACGUACGCAAGUAUGAAACUUAAAGGAAUUGGCGGGGGAGCACCACAAGGGGUGAAGCCUGCGGUUCAAUUGGAUUCAACGCCGGGG
RNAcentral lists this ribosomal RNA (916 nucleotides) under uncultured archaeon. Its description in RNAcentral is "bacterial SSU rRNA". It matches the Rfam family "Archaeal small subunit ribosomal RNA", at positions 1 to 923 of the family's 1478-position model. The record is from RNAcentral.